UGGGCUCUAUGACCAGCACCCUUAUUUAAGGCAUGUAGUAGUAUUUCCCUCUUGGGUACCUACAGUGAUGCUCAGGAUGAAGAUCGAUUCAAGUUACAGAACUUGGCUGGGGUACAGGGCUGUCCUGGACUUGAACGAACUGGUCUGGAUAAAGAAAAAAUAACUCCAAAACCUCUGUGUCCUGGUCUAGUUUAAAAUUCUUCUCACUUUUCUAAUUAUGCAGCUGAAGCUGCUCUUUUAAGCACCUUGGGUUGAGUUGUAACAUAGCUGGCCAGUCACAAGGCCUUUGGAUAGGUGUUUUUCAAUCCAAGGGCCUGAGUAUGGCUCCCUGGUGAAGAAGUCUCUUUAACCCAGCUGGAUGAGUCCUUGAAAGGACAAAUGAAUCAGCAGCUGCCCUGUGUGCACCCCUGCUCCACCUGCCCAGCUGGCAGAGAGGGGAUACUGGGAAAAAGGUUUGGAAGAGGAGGAAGAUCACCUCAGGUCCCAGGACCUGCACAUUGGUGCAGUGUAGAGCUGAACUCAGCUAAGAACCAAACAACUCGCAAUACUCUGUGCUGUUCCUGAAGCAGACAUGCGUGCUAAAUAUUCUUUCUGUUAAAUGAGAAGAGUGUUGUGGCGUGAGAAAGCUACAAAAUGCCUAUUGCCCAUGGGAAAAUGAGUAAUAAUUCAUUCUGCUGAUAUGUUACGGUUGAGCCUCUCUACCCCCAAACUGUAAUUAUGUGUUCCCGCGGAUUCUCUUUUGCCAUCUCUGAUAUUUCUCUAGCCAAGCUGUGAACUGAUUCAGGAAACUACAAUGACAGAAAAUUAAAGCAGAAAAAUGAA
This is a long non-coding RNA of Pezoporus flaviventris, 822 nucleotides long. RefSeq lists it as uncharacterized. The record is from RefSeq and is a predicted model, not a curated record. Lineage: Eukaryota; Metazoa; Chordata; Aves; Psittaciformes; Psittacidae. The transcript has 3 exons.